AAAUCAUUCAAUUUCUUUCUCUAGAGAUCUAGAGUCUCCAAUUUAAUCAAAGCAAAGUAAGUUGUGAAGACAAGUAGAGAAUCUGUCAUGUAGCCAGAACCACUACAGAGAGCAAAGAGUAGGGAGGCAAUGAGACAUGAGAGAAUCAGAAGUGUUACCAACAAAAGAUGCAAUUUCAACAUGAUUGGUAGACCUAAUGCGGCUAGCAAAUCUUCUUUGCAGGAUAGCCUUUAUUGUCUACAACAAUUUGUCAUUAACACAAGUUUUAAACUUUUAAUUCUUCUUCACCUUUCU
Molecule: long non-coding RNA, 294 nt
Organism: Quercus lobata
Lineage: Eukaryota; Viridiplantae; Streptophyta; Magnoliopsida; Fagales; Fagaceae
Exons: 3
Source: RefSeq, a predicted model, not a curated record